Molecule: ribosomal RNA, 305 nt
Filed under: uncultured bacterium
Lineage: Bacteria
Description: bacterial SSU rRNA
Rfam family: Bacterial small subunit ribosomal RNA
Source: RNAcentral
CCGGCCCUACGGGGCGAGCAGUGAGGAAUAUUGGUCAAUGGGCUUACGCCUGAACCAGCCAAGUCGCGUGAGGGAAGACUGCCCUAUGGGUUGUAAACCUCUUUUGUCAGGGAGCAACGCCGGCUACGUGUAGCCGGACUGAGAGUACCUGAAGAAAAAGCAUCGGCUAACUCCGUGCCAGCAGCCGCGGUAAUACGGAGGAUGCGAGCGUUAUCCGGAUUUAUUGGGUUUAAAGGGUGCGUAGGCGGAAUGCCAAGUCAGCGGUAAAAUCGCGGGGCUCAACCUCGCUCCGCCGUUGAAACUGG